CACAACUGGCACACACACUCACUCGAUCUGACUGCACAGACCGGCUCUGAUUGACACGUAACCUCACAGUCCGAAGACGACCUGCUCUGAUACCACUUUGUAACACCCAAACCCGUUAUUUAAUUAACUCUGCCUUUAUAAAAUCUUUUUCGAAAAUACGCAGCGGAAAAAUUGAAAAUCUGAUUUAUAAAGCGCUGGUUUGAAUAUCACAAACUU
RNAcentral lists this long non-coding RNA (216 nucleotides) under Trifolium pratense (red clover). RNAcentral describes it as "long non-coding RNA (TPRA_LNC011548)". The record is from RNAcentral. Lineage: Eukaryota; Viridiplantae; Streptophyta; Magnoliopsida; Fabales; Fabaceae.